This 73-nucleotide transfer RNA is filed under the name Actinomycetota bacterium. RNAcentral's name for it is "tRNA-Ala". It matches the Rfam family "tRNA". Rfam says of the family: Transfer RNA (tRNA) molecules are approximately 80 nucleotides in length. Their secondary structure includes four short double-helical elements and three loops (D, anti-codon, and T loops). Further hydrogen bonds mediate the characteristic L-shaped molecular structure. tRNAs have two regions of fundamental functional importance: the anti-codon, which is responsible for specific mRNA codon recognition, and the 3' end, to which the tRNAs corresponding amino acid is attached (by aminoacyl-tRNA synthetases). tRNAs cope with the degeneracy of the genetic code in two manners: having more than one tRNA (with a specific anti-codon) for a particular amino acid; and 'wobble' base-pairing, i.e. permitting non-standard base-pairing at the 3rd anti-codon position. The record is from RNAcentral. Lineage: Bacteria; Bacillati; Actinomycetota.
GGGGCCGUAGCUCAGUUGGGAGAGCGUUUGGCUGGCAGCCAAAAGGCCAGGGGUUCGAGCCCCCUCGGCUCCA